This 468-nucleotide ribosomal RNA is filed under the name uncultured bacterium. Its description in RNAcentral is "partial 16S ribosomal RNA". It matches the Rfam family "Bacterial small subunit ribosomal RNA", at positions 28 to 507 of the family's 1533-position model. The record is from RNAcentral.
GACGAACGCUGGCGGCGUGCUUAACACAUGCAAGUCGAACGAACAGGCCCUGCUUUUGUUGGUUGCUCGAGUGGCGAACGGGUGAGUAACACGUGAGUAACCUGCCCUUGACUUUGGGAUAACUUCAGGAAACUGGGGCGAAUACCGGAUAGGAGCUCCUGCUGCAUGGUGUGGGUUGGAAAGUUUCGGCGGUUGGGGCUGGUCUCGAGGCUUAUCAGCUUGUUGGUGGGGUAGUGGCUUACCAAGGCUUUGACGGGUAGCCGGCCUGAGAGGGUGACCGGCCACAAUGGGACUGAGAGACGGACCAGAAUGCUACGGGAGGCAGCAGUGGGGAAUAUUGCACAAUGGGCGGAAGCCUGAGGCAGAAACGCCGCGUGCGGGAUGACGGCCUUCGGGUUGUAAACCGCUUUCGCCUGUGACGAAGCGUGAGUGACGGUAAUGGGUAAAGAAGCACCGGCUAACUACGUG